Molecule: RNase P RNA, 222 nt
Filed under: Microcaldota archaeon
Lineage: Archaea; Nanobdellati; Microcaldota
Description: RNase P RNA component
Rfam family: Archaeal RNase P
About the family: Ribonuclease P (RNase P) is a ubiquitous endoribonuclease, found in archaea, bacteria and eukarya as well as chloroplasts and mitochondria. Its best characterised activity is the generation of mature 5'-ends of tRNAs by cleaving the 5'-leader elements of precursor-tRNAs. Cellular RNase Ps are ribonucleoproteins.
Source: RNAcentral
GGGUGAGGGGCAGACGGCCAACGGUCCUCUGGACUGAGGAAGUUCUGCCCUCCGAUAGGAUACCCGGGCUUUAAGGGCUCGAAGGAUGGUACAGAAACGAGACCCUCGGCGCAAGCCGCGGGAUGAAACGAGCGUCCUUCUAUCCGAUGACGGAGCAAGGAGGUUUUCCUCCGCUAAGUCAAAUGCCGUCUGAACACUGAAGGCAGACUAUGCCCCUCACCU